This is a long non-coding RNA of Planococcus citri (citrus mealybug), 4664 nucleotides long. RefSeq lists it as uncharacterized. NCBI's taxonomy places the organism in Eukaryota, Metazoa, Arthropoda, Insecta, Hemiptera, Pseudococcidae. The transcript is spliced from 2 exons. The record is from RefSeq and is a predicted model, not a curated record.
AAUCACAAACUGGCAAUUAUUGGAAAAGAAGUUAUACUUUUUCCUAAAUUCUCUCAAAAAAAGUUGAACUGCUCAAUUUGCAAGUUUUCUAUAAUAGAGCUUUUUGGCAAUUUUUGGCAACAAAGUGAAAAUUUUUGCAACUACUGGCACCAAAAAAAAAAACACAAUUUUUUGAUUACUUUCGGCAAUUUUAGCAAAUUCAGACAAGAGGCGAGAUUUUUGAUAAUUUUGGCAGAAAACGACACUUUGACAUUCAUCUUAUCAAAAACGCAAAAAUGUUCACCAACAAACCAAAAAUUGAAAAUUGUUGUCAAUUUUUGAAAAAGUGAUUAUUUUUUAUAACUUUUGCCAAAAAGCAAGACUUUGACAAUUGUAGCAAACAGCAGAACUUAUGAUUUGUCCCAAAACAUUUCACCAUCUUUUACGUUUUGACAAAAAAUGUGGCAUUCUUUACCCCCUCCCCUCCUUCUAGCUUCCGCCACGGUAUUGCAGAUCUGACCACGAAAAUGUCACAAGUUGUAAUAUUGUAAACAUCGUAAAAAUGAAUGCUUCAGUCUGUGCGCAAUUGUGAUGUGGGGGGUGGUUCUGAACUCGAUGCAGCAAUACGUGCCCGUUUCCAAGAUUUCCUCGAAAACGGAAAACUUCUGAUUUUUUGGAUAUUUUUAUUAGAUACCUAUGUAAUGAGGUGAUCAAAAUAUGUACCACUCUUGGGAUGCUCCUCCCAAAAUCGGCUAAAAUGUGGAAUAACUCGUUAAACAUGUCGACGAACAUGCAGUGCACAACUUAAUCCAAUUAUCCUUACCUGAUGAUUCAAUUCCAUGCUUCGCCCAGACAGCCAAUCAGCAUUCCAUGCUCGGUAAAUUAUCAACACUCGUGAUCUGUCGAAACCAAAAAGCAACAUAAGCACGUCUCCAGCGCAGAAUACAACACCAACACACUCGUAAAAAAUUUUCAAAAUAUCAAAAAAUAAAUAAAAAUCGUAUUCAAAAUUCACAAACACGUCAUUGUUCAUAUUCACGCCUUCUGCAGCAAAUUUAAAAUUCCGGAUAAAUUGAAAAUCGUGCUGGAGGCUCCACACUAGCUUGAGAUGGCGAAAUUCACCCUGAGGGGGAGGAGGGGGUAGUUCUGGACAAAAUACAGCGAUUCGCGUAAAUUUCGAAAAUUUCUUCGUAAACGGGACACUUAAUUUUUUUGGAUAUUUUUGUAAAAAAAAAAGGUGUUUCUGCCAAAAUCUCCUCAAAUGUAGAUAAACUUGUUAAACAGGUCCAGUACAACACACAACUCGAUUUUCAGCUGCCCAACAUCAUAAUCACGCCUUCUGGAGCAAAUUCAAAAUUCUGGAGAAAUUGAAAAUCGCGCUGGAGGCUCCAGAAUGGCUGGAAAUAUUGAAGUUUGGAAGUCAGUUUUGAAUUUUCAAACGUCGCGUUCGCCAAAAAUCAAAAUAUGAAGUUGGGCAGCUGAAAAUUUGGCUUUGAGGGUUUUAGACCUUGCGAAAAGCAAGAAACGCGACGUUCUGGGCAUUUGGGAAAAAAGUGAAAGUUUUUACUAUUUUUGGCAGAAUGCUACCACUUGAGAAUAGCAAACUCGUUUUGUUUUGUUCUUACUGUAUUUUUACACGAUUAUAACAUAGAGAAUUUUCAUGAACAAUAUAAAAUGACGGAAAUCAGCCACGAUAAGAAAUGCAUAUUUAUCACGUCCGUUAUUACUUGAUAAUAUGUAUAAGCUAUGACAAUUGCAAAAAUUCUGACUCAUUGUGAUAGAGUAACUACAACUGAGAAUGAUUUACUAAGUUAAGCUCGUUUCCCUGAAAUAUUUUGCCUGUAAUUGUAUAAUGCGUGUUGUAUUCUUUUCUCCUCAAAAAUUGUAAAAAGCUCGGAAAAAGUGUUCAAAGAAGUGUUCUAUACAUAAAUAAUGAAUGAUAUGGAACUAUUUGAAAAAAGUUAUUCGUUUAUGAAAAUUGAACGCGGUAAUUAUUUCUGAAAAGCAAUUUAUUUUCAAAUACUCAACUUUCUUCUUUGAGUGUCGGUACUUGGUAAUUUGAAAAAUCAAGAUGUCAUCUGAAGAUGAAGAACCAUUUUGUGGAGCCACGUUACAGAAUGUAGAAUCUUAUUAUUUGGAGAAUAUACAAGGUACUAUCGACAUACCAAUAUGCAUAAUCGGUGUGAUCUUUAACAUGUUCAACAUGCUGGUAUUCACAAGGACAAAUAUGAAAUCACCGGUGAACCUAAUCUUCACUCAUUUGGCGUUUGCAAAUUUAUCAGAGCUGUUACCAUACAUAUACUUCAUAUGGGUAAACUUGGCAUAUCAGAGUGAGCUAAGAACUUUCAAAAAAUGGACUUAUACACGGGCAGUACUCUUAAUGCGAUGUGCUGAGUUGAUAAACAUUUUUAACCGCAUAUCAGUGUAUAUUAUAAUUAUGCUAGCAAUAUGGAAAUACAUAGCUGUAUUUCAUCCAUCGAAGGAAUCUCAAUGGUGCAAUAUGAAAACUACACGCAAUACGCUGGUAGCUGGUUACAUCAUAUGCAUGUUGCUUUCUAUACCGAACUGUUUGUCAGAUUAUAUUGAAACAUAUGUCAUGGAUCAGACGACAAUAAUUUACAUAUAUAGAGUUGAAAUUGAUUCCAUCAUGUACUCAGCGUCACAAGUUGUCAAAGUAGGGUUGUAUGAAUUAUUUCCAUCACUGGUGUUACCGAUAUUAGGUGCUAGAUUGAUUGUCACUCUAUGGAUGAAAAAAGAACACCCAACUCCUACUUCAAACGUUGAAAACCGCACAGACAAUGUCGAAAUGAAGCGACAAACCAAUCGAUCGAUAAUCAUAUCGAUGAUAAUUGUGGCACAAUGUUUAAGUUUCGUGAUUCCAUUAGGAUUACUGGACUUAGUACAUAAAUUUUUUGUACGCGAUUAUCUAUCAACUCAUUACGAAUGUUUUACUAGCUUUCGAGUGAUAGUCAAUAUCUUAGAUUGCGUUAAUAAGUCUAUUAAAUUUAUAGUAUUUUACGCGAUGGAUCAAGAUUUUAGAGUCACAUUCAAAUCUUUGUUCAACAAAAACCAUGCUUCUGUAUGGAAACUAAAGUACGUCCCUUUGAGCAGUACGAGAGGGAACGAUGAAAGCUUAGAAAUAGAUCGAAUUUAACAAAGGUGGGUAAUUUUUGAAAUGGAAUUAUUGCAGAUAUCUGACAAUGAGGGUGAUAACCCAGGAAAAAAUAAUUGCAUCCGCCCAUGCCACGAGUCUAAUUCUGUACUCCAAUGCAAAAAGGAUGGAUGUCCAGAAACCAAAUUUUUCAGGAGAGUGAGAAAACAAUUUUAGCGAUCAUUUUUGUUUCAUUUUCAAACUUGUAGAGAGAGUAAAUUUUAAUUGAAAAUUAUAUUUCAAUUCUUUGAUGCAUUGGUAAUUGAUUUUAGCUUUUAUAAAUAAUUUAUCACCAGUCAAUUAUUUUUUAAAUGAACUACCUAAUGAAAAAAAAAUUGAAUGGACAUCCACGAGUAAACUCCAAAAAAAGGAUGGAAGUCCUCGUAAUUAAAAGAUGGAAGUCCUAUUCGAGAAAAAUAACAUCUGGACUUCCAUCCUUUUUCUUUCUUGUUUUCCAGGACUUCCAUCUUUUUCGUUUUGACAACUUCUGUAAUUCUCCACUUGGAGCGUAAAUAUAUACACGGUUAGAGAGAGAGAGAGUUUCAAGAGCUUUCCAAUGAUGUGAAAAUCUCAAUUCGUGAAAAAUGGACUUCCAUCCUUUUUGCUUUGGAGUACAGAUUAUUUGACCUGGCCAGAUCGGAUCAGAUCUGUUCAUUCCUAAUCAGACCAAAUGAGAGGCCUGAUUGGAUCUGACUGGAUUUAAGUAUGUACCAGGUACCUACAUCUGAUCUGGAUUAGAUCAGAUCAGAUCUAAUCAGAUCCAAUCACCUUCUCCUGGGAAGAUUUUUAAAAACUCAAAAAUAUUUUUCACCCAAAUGCAAGGGUCUUAGUGUCAGUUGAGUGAAAAAUAGCUUCCUAUAGGUAAAUAGGUAUUGUGUAGAUUAAGCAAGGUUCAUGUUUCAUGAAUCAACUUAUUUAUUAUAUUUUAUGUCAAAAAUCAAUGUACAUUUAUGUAUUUAUUAUUCAAAAAAUUCUCGAAUUAAAAAAAUAUACAAAUAAUCUGAGUCAUUAUGUUAUUGUCAUGUCAUAGGUACCAAAACUAGUUAGCUAAUUGUUAAUUUUUAAUAUGAUUUUGAAUAUUCGAAAGCUUUUUAUAAUCUUUGACAUUUCAGCCAAAUUAUUGGACACUGUAACCCCCCCCCCCCCUCCUGUAAAGCUGCAAUUUAUCGCGCAUUGAUUGCUGUAUUUAAAAACGAGUAAUUGCAAUUUGAACAUUUCAUGUUUCUGUAAUAACAUUUUAAAGAAAAUUAUGCAAUUUUUCAAAAUUUUAAAUUCAGAACUCAACAUGUGUAGUGUAUAGAGAGGUCUAAGUUGGUAACACUGUUCAACAUGGGAGUUGUUCGUCGAAAAUACGAGAAAAUGUAGGUAUUGUGGUUUUAUGAUGUGUGACAUCAUAUGUUUUACGAUCGUCACGUAUAUUCUCCAGCUUUGUGGUGACAAGGUUAUGUUACUUAGUUUUUUUGUCUUAUGUUAGUCGUUGUCUUGAUCUUUACACUGUACUGUUUGGUUAAAAAUAAAGAGUAUUGUAAUGUAA